Molecule: long non-coding RNA, 2297 nt
Organism: Capsicum annuum
Lineage: Eukaryota; Viridiplantae; Streptophyta; Magnoliopsida; Solanales; Solanaceae
Exons: 2
Source: RefSeq, a predicted model, not a curated record
UUAUCAACGAGGGCAGGAACAAGUUCCGCUGAUGGUAACUGGAGACGGGCAUUGGCAUUGAUGGAGUGCUCGUGUGCUAGCUUGAGAUCAAGGCAGUGCAGCUGUUUCGGGAUGCCACUAGAUGCCACAUGCCGAUAAAGACAAAGAGGUGGAUCAUCUGAUCUUGAAAUAGGUCAUCCCGGCUAUCCCAAUCUUUUAUAUGUUCAUUUCGUCAGGUAUCAUAUUCAUUCUACAGGACCAAAACGAGGCCUUAUAAGUUUCCUGAUGUACCUGCAUUCUGAUAUUAUAUCGCGCUGAAAUAUUUUCAUAUCAUUCUAUGUUUAGAAACAUCAUUUUUACUAUUAACUAAUGCUUCUUAUAUCUGCAGUAACUCGAGCACUAUAUUAAUACAAUGUCUUAUACAUGCCUCUUGAUGUGGUGAACUCAGUUUCUGUUUAGACAGAGGAGAGAGUAAGAGAGAAACGUACCUAGUGUUGAACAUUUUCGUUCUCCAUCGAUGGUGUCCACAGCGGUUAACACGAAGACAAACCGUAGAAGAAAUGUAAAAAGCAGGAGGGAAUAGAAGACCACGAGGUACGAUAUUCGUCUUGAGCCAACUUUUACUUUGAUGAAAUUCUUGAAACCUUUGGCUGGUAGGACAGUAACAUGCCUCAAACUCGGCGAUAUGAGGAGCUGCAUUGUGUGUUUCAUUCAAAAUGUUGUUACUAUUUUGUGUUGUUGGUCUAGCUAUUGAUCAAUUGGCAAUCACUCAUAAUAAGGUUGUUGAUGUUCAAAGUUGCUGUCAUUCACCUAACCUUGCUUAGCAUGAAGGUUACAAAUUUUCUUGACAGAGAAGAAGACUAUGUUGAUUGUAGUAGUAGUAGUUUAACUUCUACACAUUGAGGAGUUGUUUCAUUUGCGAACAAGUUAUUCUGGGAUUGUUAUAAUAGCAGGAUCGUUAAACGGGGAUUAUAUGGUAACGAGAUACUUUGCAGAUGUCUUGGUGUAACUGGUAAAGUUGUUGUCAUGUGAACGGGGACUACAUGGUAAUGAGAGAUUUUGUGGAUGUCUUGGCGUAAUCGGUAAAGCUGUUGUCAUGUGGACGGGGACUAUAUGGUAAUGAGAUAUUUUUGGAAUGUCUUAGCGUAACUGGUAAAGUUGUUGUCAUGUGAACGGGGACUAUAUGGUAAUGAGAUAUCUUGUGGAUGUCCUGGCGUAACUGGUAAAGUAGUUGUCAUGUGGACGGGGACUAUAUGGUAAUGAGAUAUUUUGUAGAUGUCUUGGCGUAACUGGUAAAGUUGUUGUCAUAUGAACGGGGACUAUAUGGUAAUGAGAUAUCUUGUGGAUGUCUUGGAGUAACCGGUAAAGUUGUUGUCAUGUGAACGGGGACUAUAUGGUGAUGAGAUACUUUGUGGAUGUCUUGGCGUAAUUGGUAAAGUUGUUGUCAUGUGAACGAGGACUAUAUGGUAAUGAGAUAUUUUGUGGAUGUCUUGGCGUAACUGGUAAAGUUGCUGUCAUGCGACCAGGGGUAACAGGUUCGAGUUGUGGAAAGAAUAUCUUGCAGAAACGCUGGUUAACUUUGCGUACAAUAGACUCUUGUGGUUCUCGGUUGUGCACUGGGCAGCCAUUUUACCUUUUUAUAGACGUUUGGAUAUAUGGCGUAUAAUAUAAACCAUGCGUUUGGUUGUAACCAUCAACAACAACAACAUACCCAGUAUAUUCCCACCAAGUAGGGUCUGGGGAGGGUAAGUGUAAGCAGUCCAUACCACUACCUCAGAUGUGAGAUAGAGAGGCUGUUUCCGAUAGACCCCCGGCUCAAAAUAAAACAAUCUAGACAAGGUUUGGUUGUAACCAUCGAGUUAAAAAAAUGAAAGGUGUGACCUAGUCGUCAAUACAGCAAUUAAAGAUAUCGUCACGUUUAUAUUCCAGCGAAGAUAAAAAUACUACGUGAUUCAUUCCAUAUGUCUUAGUCUUGGUCGACAGAGUUAUCUGUUGCUGGUUGGAGGUGGACGGUAUCUUAUGAAAUUUAUCGAAGUGCGUGCAAGCUGUCUACCACAAUUAUAAAAUAAAAAUAGGAUAGAUUACCUGCUAUAACAGUCAAAAAUAUAGUAUAGAAUAAGUUUUUUGUAAAUUUUUUUUUUUUUUUUUUUUAUAAAAAAAAAACAAGUGUACAAAUUAGAGAAAAAGAGAAAAGAUAGUUUGGUGUUGUUUCACUUUGCCUUCACAUGAAGUAUUGUAAAGAUUGAAAAAACAUGAGGGAAAGUAUAGGCUUUGUUGAUUUGAACAGAGUUUCUAAUAGACAAUGACUUAUUGUCUUC